UCAGGAAUAGCCUAAUUGGUAGGGCGCGCGGUUCUGACCCGCGAUGUAGAGGUUCGACCCCUUUUUCCUGAA
This 72-nucleotide transfer RNA is filed under the name Rhodocyclaceae bacterium. Its description in RNAcentral is "tRNA-Gln". It matches the Rfam family "tRNA". Rfam says of the family: Transfer RNA (tRNA) molecules are approximately 80 nucleotides in length. Their secondary structure includes four short double-helical elements and three loops (D, anti-codon, and T loops). Further hydrogen bonds mediate the characteristic L-shaped molecular structure. tRNAs have two regions of fundamental functional importance: the anti-codon, which is responsible for specific mRNA codon recognition, and the 3' end, to which the tRNAs corresponding amino acid is attached (by aminoacyl-tRNA synthetases). tRNAs cope with the degeneracy of the genetic code in two manners: having more than one tRNA (with a specific anti-codon) for a particular amino acid; and 'wobble' base-pairing, i.e. permitting non-standard base-pairing at the 3rd anti-codon position. Lineage: Bacteria; Pseudomonadati; Pseudomonadota; Betaproteobacteria; Rhodocyclales; Rhodocyclaceae. The record is from RNAcentral.